CUUAACCUACAGACUGCGUUUGAAACUGUAUACCUUGAGAGCAGCAGAGGAAGGCGGAAUUCCUGGUGUAGUGGUGAAAUACGUAGAUAUCAGGAAGAACACCAGUGGCGAAGGCGGUCUUCUGGGCUGCAUCUGACGCUCAUGUACGAAAGCUGGGGUAGCGAACGGGAUUAGAUACCCCGGUAGUCCCAGCUGUAAACGAUGGACACUAGGUGUUGGAGGUUCGAAUCCUUCAGUGCCGGAGUUAACGCAUUAAGUGUCCCGCCUGGGGAAUACGGUCGCAAGACUGAAACUCAAAGGAAUUGACGGGGGCCCGCACAAGCGGUGGAGCAUGUGGUUUAAUUCGAUGCAACGCGAAGAACCUUACCGAGAAUUGACAUCCCGUGACUACCUGUGAGAGCAGGGUUUAGUGUUUACACUACAC
This 424-nucleotide ribosomal RNA is filed under the name uncultured bacterium. RNAcentral describes it as "bacterial SSU rRNA". It matches the Rfam family "Bacterial small subunit ribosomal RNA", at positions 608 to 1029 of the family's 1533-position model. The record is from RNAcentral.